CGCCUUGCCAGCCCGCUCAGAAACUUAAAGGAAGUUGACGGGGGCCCGCACAAGCGGUGGAGUAUGUGGUUAAUUCGAUGCAACGCGAGAACCUUACCUGGUCUUGACAUCCCGGAGACCCUUAGGAAACUAGGGGGUGCUUCCAUCUGGAAGAAUCUGGAGACAGGUGCUGCAUGGCUGUCGUCAGCUCGUGUCGUGAGAUGUUGGGUUAAGUCCCGCAACGAGCGCAACCCUUGCCUUUAGUUGCCAGCAGUUCGGCUGGGCACUCUAAAGGGACUGCCGGUGUUAAACCGGAGGAAGGUGGGGAUGACGUCAAGUCCUCAUGGCCUUUAUGACCAGGGCUACACACGUACUACAAUGGCCGAUACAAAGGGCAGCGACACUGCGAGGUGAAGCCAAUCCCGUAAAAUCGGUCUCAGUCCGGAUUGGAGUCUGCAACUCGACUCCAUGAAGUUGGAAUCGCUAGUAAUCGUGGAUCAGCAUGCCACGGUGAAUACGUUCCCGGGCCUU
RNAcentral lists this ribosomal RNA (510 nucleotides) under uncultured Desulfobulbus sp. RNAcentral describes it as "bacterial SSU rRNA". It matches the Rfam family "Bacterial small subunit ribosomal RNA", at positions 903 to 1382 of the family's 1533-position model. The record is from RNAcentral. Lineage: Bacteria; Pseudomonadati; Thermodesulfobacteriota; Desulfobulbia; Desulfobulbales; Desulfobulbaceae.